Molecule: ribosomal RNA, 497 nt
Filed under: uncultured bacterium
Lineage: Bacteria
Description: partial 16S ribosomal RNA
Rfam family: Bacterial small subunit ribosomal RNA
Source: RNAcentral
GAUGAACGCUGGCGGCGUGCCUAAUACAUGCAAGUCGAGCGAACAGACGAGGAGCUUGCUCCUCUGACGUUAGCGGCGGACGGGUGAGUAACACGUGGAUAACCUACCUAUAAGACUGGGAUAACUUCGUGAAACCGGAUCUAAUACCGGAUAAUAUAUUGAACCGCAUGGUUCAAUAGUUAUAGACGGUUUUUCUGUCACUUAUAGAUGGAUCCGCGCCGCAUUAGCUAGUUGGUAAGGUAACGGCUUACCAAGGCAACGAUGCGUAUCCGACCUGAGAGGGUGAUCGGCCACACUGGAACUGAGACACGGUCCAGACUCCUACGGGAGGCAGCAGUAGGGAAUAUUCCGCAAUGGGCGAAAGCAUGACGGAGCAACGCCGCGUGAGUGAUGAAGGUCUUAGGAUCGUAAAACUCUGUUAUUAGGGAAGAACAAAUGUGUAAGUAACUAUGCACGUCUUGACGGUAACUAAUCAGAAAGCCACGGCUAACUACGUG